AAACGCUUGAAGUCAGUCGCGUUUGCUAGAGAUCAACCUUGCUUUUGCUGGGCGUACUCUCUAGCUGACGGGCCAGCAUCAGUUUUGACCAUUGGAAAAGGGCAGAGGGAAUGUGGCAUCUCCGGAUGUGUUAUAGCCUUCUGUCGUAUACAGUGGUUGGGACUGAGGAACUCAGCACGCCGCAAGGCGGGGAUUCGUCCACCUUCGUGCUUAGGAUGCUGGCAUAAUGGCUUUAAUCGA
This 240-nucleotide ribosomal RNA is filed under the name Gymnopilus dilepis. Its description in RNAcentral is "partial large subunit ribosomal RNA". The record is from RNAcentral. Lineage: Eukaryota; Fungi; Basidiomycota; Agaricomycetes; Agaricales; Galerinaceae.